Molecule: long non-coding RNA, 528 nt
Organism: Caretta caretta (loggerhead turtle)
Lineage: Eukaryota; Metazoa; Chordata; Testudines; Cheloniidae
Source: RefSeq, a predicted model, not a curated record
UGGGGAUCCAGGUCGACUCAUGGACGAUUUUGCUUCAUGUCCCUGCAGGGAAAGGACCAGACCCAAGACAGAGCAGGAGGGAGUCCAACGCUGCAGCCACAGUCUACACCCUCAUCGGCGAAGGAAAGGAGCUGGAUGUCCUGCCCCAGGAGCCCGACCCCGACUACGCUGAGGUGGACACCCAGGUGCUGUAGGCCAAGCGGGGGGUGUCCGACCCCUGCCCCCGAGCCCGUCCUGCCAUCAGCGUGAGCCGGGGGUGCAGGGGCGCCCCCCCACAGCGUGAACCCAGGGGGAGUCAUCAGAGCGACGGGACAGGGAGCAGCAGCCACCAGGGGGUGACAGAUUGAUUCCCCCCCCCCAGAGAACGGGCUCGGCUUAUAGCCCCCCCAUAGCCCUCCCUCCAGCUGGUGCCGCCCCACCCAGCCCCAUGGGUGGGGGGCCAGGAGGGCUCAGCGCCAUGAGGGGGGAGGGGACACGCCGUGGCAGCUGUUUGUGUUAUUUUGUAUCCUGUUAAUCUCCAGAUUUGUA